Non-coding RNA from Gasterosteus aculeatus aculeatus (three-spined stickleback), 1397 nucleotides. The record is from RefSeq and is a predicted model, not a curated record. Lineage: Eukaryota; Metazoa; Chordata; Actinopteri; Perciformes; Gasterosteidae.
UCGUCUUGGGACCGUUAGAGUUCGGGAUGCGGCACCGAGUGCGCGACUGCAAACUCGGUGCCGCAUCCCGAACAAAACAAAAACAGAAGCCGGUUCCGCACGAGACGUGUGUAGAUGUUGCACAAUCCGAUUCAGCUCUCUGCAACCUUGCCUCGCCGCCCGGGGUCCAACACCACCACCACCACCCCUGCCCGUCCCGUUACCUAUGGCAGCGACUGAACAUGUUCACCCUUUACACUUGAGGCCCUUGGAGCUCAGGAGCGGCUCGUCCGGCUUCCAGCUGCGCACUUACCAUCUUCAUUCCAGGCCAGGGCAAUAAGAAAAAAGCGCAUGUAUAAGCUUUGGAGUGAGGCGCACUCGGUGCUUAAAAGAUCCGGUGAUGUGUCCCAUUCAUCGAGAGAGGAAGACUGCCUAUGGAGCACAUGUGGCUGCAGCUGCACAGUACUAAUAGCAAGAAAUAAGCAUAUUCACACUUCACCUAAAUGACGGGAUGUCGGCUGUAUGAGCCUGAUUCAGUCAGCCUUCUCCUUCCCUUUGGCCGUCUAUGUCGUAAGUCGCGGGGUUCAUGGCUCAGAGCCGCCCCAAGACAUGACUGGCGUAAAGAAGAGAAGCAUUCCUUUCCAACUUUUCAGAAUCUGACCUUUCUUUAACGCUGACACAAUGUUUUGGCUGUGCACUUCCCCACAUCACAUUUUCGUGCAACCUUUGUGAUAAAAUUGGUUCUGAGGGACGUGUAGGAAUGUUGCCAUGUUCCCCAGAGGUUAGCAAUUACUUUGAUAAGUACAAUAUUAUAAAAAAUAACAGAAAUUAUAACACAUUUGACCCAAGUUGUAUCGUGUUUUAUCUCUAUGUUCACUAAAAAAUACAGAAUACCUCCACAAUAUCUCUCCUCGGAAUCCCCAUGCUGGUACAAUUUCCCAAAUUUUUGACAAGUCAUAAAUCUAUUUCCUCUUCCUCCAUCUUGACCCACUUGCCGGCUCCCCCCUGGUCCAUCAUGGCGGCCUGUGAAGCAGUGCGGCUUGAAUGCGCGUCAAGAGCACGUUGGAAUGUUUAUGCUUGAGCUCAAGGUUGUCUUCAAUCAUACACAGAGCUGUUUGACAGCUCGCAGCGCCGCCUGGCCUCUGUUUACCUCACCUAAUUUCCGACUGGCUUUGUGUGCAUCAAGCGGCAACACAGCGAGAUGGGAGCGAAAUCAUCAUGAUUUGAUACAGAAAAUGCUAGUGUUUGACCGGUUUGAACAGUAACAGUAAACUCUCUAAAGAAAAGAAAAAAAGCAGCUCCAGUUCAUUUAAAAAACAUGUUUGAAAUAGUUCAAGUGGAUAUAGAACUUCUUGUGGUUCUAUGAUAUAGUAAGAUGAGUUUGCACGGUAUUCAAACAAUAAAAGGGUUUAAUCUGU